RNAcentral lists this ribosomal RNA (451 nucleotides) under uncultured Fibrobacter sp. Its description in RNAcentral is "partial 16S ribosomal RNA". It matches the Rfam family "Bacterial small subunit ribosomal RNA", at positions 341 to 792 of the family's 1533-position model. The record is from RNAcentral. Lineage: Bacteria; Pseudomonadati; Fibrobacterota; Fibrobacteria; Fibrobacterales; Fibrobacteraceae.
ACGGGAGGCAGCAGUAGGGAAUAUUGCACAAUGGGGGAAACCCUGAUGCAGCAACGCCACGUGUGGGAAGAAGCAUUUCGGUGUGUAAACCACUGUCGUGAGGGAAUAAUGCUUGGUUUCGGCCAAGUUGAAUGUACCUCGAAAGGAAGCACCGGCAAACUUCGUGCCAGCAGCCGCGGUAAUACGAGGGGUGCAAGCGUUGUUCGGAAUCACUGGGCGUAAAGGGAGCGCAGGCGGAGAUGCAGGCGGACUGUACAAUACCGGGGCCCAACCCCGGACCUGCAGUCCGGACUGCACCUCUUGGAUAGUUCAGGGGCAGGCGGAAUUCCUGGUGUAGCGGUGGAAUGCGUAGAGAUCAGGAAGAACACCGAUGGCGAAGGCAGCCUGCUGGGGACUCAUCGACGCUGAGGCUCGAAAGUGCGGGUAGCAAACAGGAUUAGAUACCCUGGUA